Rosa rugosa (rugosa rose) is the source of this 1549-nucleotide long non-coding RNA. RefSeq lists it as uncharacterized. The transcript has 3 exons. NCBI's taxonomy places the organism in Eukaryota, Viridiplantae, Streptophyta, Magnoliopsida, Rosales, Rosaceae. The record is from RefSeq and is a predicted model, not a curated record.
AAUACGCAUGCUGCAACUUACAGCCGGUCAAACCAGUGUACGUGGAGCGCCACAAUCCACAGCUUUUCAAUCCUUGGGGCAUGGUGUAAUUUCACAGUAACGGAACGUUAAUCGUGAAAUUUUGAACCGUUACGGUAAAAGAUGGGAGCUGCAAAGAGGGGAGAUUGUAGACAAUUCACAGACUAAUCCACUCUUGUUGAAUAAGGCACCACGUAUCACAAAACGAACACCCAAACAAGGAAUUUGAUGAAGACAAUGGAGCAAAGCGAAAGGGAAACACAAAAUGGAAGAACAGAAUUGAAAAAAUAAGGCCAAGAAGCCUCAGAAACAGGGCAUCGCCUGAGCAGAAGCGCGAAAUGCGGAGUUUCUCUCCACCGGCUCUCACGAGAGGAGAGAGGAAACCCAGAGCGAGAGGAAGGGGAAUAACGGAGCCCCCUGUUUCAUUAUAGCCUUUGCAGAAACGAUAUCAAGAUUCAAUAGUCAAGGUCGCGGUCCAAGGCAUAGCCGUUGCAGAAACCAUACCAAUAUCGAUGGUGUAGGGGUUGAGGAGAUUUCCCCUCAUCUUGGCCGAUCAUCACCAAGGCUACAGCUGAUAGCACACUUUAGUGACUUUACAGACGAGCUUGGCUGGGAUACUGAGCCUCUUUUUCCUCUCCCAAAUGAAGAUGCUACAAAAAUAGAGUUAAUAUGGAGAACAACGAAGCAGGUCUACGCUACACUGACCAUCUGUACCACAGCUCGUUACCAUCAGACGAAGAAGUAUCUGAUGAUGAUUGCUUAUUACGAAUUGGGGAAGAUAAGGAAGGGUUAUUUUGUGAUGGAGGAGAGAAAGGGCUUGGUCAAACAUCUGAAAUUGGUAAUGAUAAAUGUUAUAUGAUGGAUAUGGAGAUGUUAGAAGGAACGAAUGUAGGUGAGUGUGUAGACUUAAAUGGCAAGGAUUACAGUAAUUUGAAUAUGGAUGACAUGAAGGAUGUUGUGUUCAGCAGCGUAUGUGAAGCUGAAAAGUUCUAUCAUUUAUACUCUCGUGUUAUUGGAUUCAGCACAAGGAGGGACAGGAAGGUUAGAGCAUAUUGUUCCGAAUUUGUCAUAAGAAGGGAGUGGGUAUGUUGAUGUUCGAAACAGGGCAAAGCAACAAUUAAGGUCAAGAAACAGGGAGUGAAAGAAAAGGGGAAGAGUCCGAUCCAAGCUGAGAAGAAGAAGAUGAAGAGGAAUCAAUGCCCAAGGGGUAAAAGAUAUAGCCGAGUUGGAUGCAUGGCUGCAUUUGGAAUUCGAUACUGCGAGGAAAGGAAGAAGUAUUUCGUAUCAAAGUUCAUAACCAAUCACAAUCAUGAUGUUGCUGUUUCAGAAGAGGUUCAGUUCCUUCGUUCUCACCGAGGAGUGAAUGACAGCGUCAUUGCUCAGGUUGAGGCUCUACAGAAAGCACAAGUGCACAUAAGCCGGAUAUAUGAUGUAAUACCCCGAAAAAAAUCCAAAUUAAAUUCCGUGGAUUUUUAGAAGUGAUUUCACGAUAGUGGGAGCGAGUACGAGGCUCGGAGAAGUUGUGGAAUUA